CAGAGUAGAUAACAAGCGUUAAGUGUUUGAGAAUGGAACGUUGUCUCAAGACGAAAAGCUAUGCUUGCGGUUUGUUAUCGCGUUCACUGC
Molecule: non-coding RNA, 90 nt
Filed under: uncultured Tissierella sp.
Lineage: Bacteria; Bacillati; Bacillota; Tissierellia; Tissierellales; Tissierellaceae
Description: THF riboswitch
Rfam family: THF (Tetrahydrofolate) riboswitch aptamer
About the family: THF riboswitch presents a pseudoknot that joins P1-P2 and the loop of P3 and two THF binding.
Source: RNAcentral